UGUGUUGUUGGGUAGGGGAGCGUUCUGUAAGCCUGCGAAGGUGGCCUGUGAGGGUUGCUGGAGGUAUCAGAAGUGCGAAUGCUGACAUAAGUAACGAUAAAGCGGGUGAAAAGCCCGCUCGCCGGAAGACCAAGGGUUCCUGUCCAACGUUAAUCGGGGCAGGGUGAGUCGACCCCUAAGGCGAGGCCGAAAGGCGUAGUCGAUGGGAAACGGGUUAAUAUUCCCGUACUUGGUGUUACUGCGAAGGGGGGACGGAGAAGGCUAUGUUGGCCGGGCGACGGUUGUCCCGGUUUAAGCGUGUAGGCUGGUUUUCCAGGCAAAUCCGGAAAAUCAAGGCUGAGGCGUGACGACGAGGCACUACGGUGCUGAAGCAACAAAUGCCCUGCUUCCAGGAAAAGCCUCUAAGCAUCAGGUAACAUCAAAUCGUACCCCAAACCGACACAGGUGGUCAGGUAGAGAAUACCAAGGCGCUUGAGAGAACUCGGGUGAAGGAACUAGGCAAAAUGGUGCCGUAACUUCGGGAGAAGGCACGCUGACAUGUAGGUGAAGUGAUUUACUCAUGGAGCUGAAGUCAGUCGAAGAUACCAGCUGGCUGCAACUGUUUAUUAAAAACACAGCACUGUGCAAACACGAAAGUGGACGUAUACGGUGUGACGCCUGCCCGGUGCCGGAAGGUUAAUUGAUGGGGUCAGCGCAAGCGAAGCUCCUGAUCGAAGCCCCGGUAAACGGCGGCCGUAACUAUAACGGUCCUAAGGUAGCGAAAUUCCUUGUCGGGUAAGUUCCGACCUGCACGAAUGGCGUAAUGAUGGCCAGGCUGUCUCCACCCGAGACUCAGUGAAAUUGAACUCGCUGUGAAGAUGCAGUGUACCCGCGGCAAGACGGAAAGACCCCGUGAACCUUUACUAUAGCUUGACACUGAACAUUGAGCCUUGAUGUGUAGGAUAGGUGGGAGGCUUUGAAGCGUGGACGCCAGUCUGCGUGGAGCCGACCUUGAAAUACCACCCUUUAAUGUUUGAUGUUCUAACGUGGACCCGUGAUCCGGGUUGCGGACAGUGUCUGGUGGGUAGUUUGACUGGGGCGGUCUCCUCCUAAAGAGUAACGGAGGAGCACGAAGGUUGGCUAAUCCUGGUCGGACAUCAGGAGGUUAGUGCAAUGGCAUAAGCCAGCUUGACUGCGAGCGUGACGGCGCGAGCAGGUGCGAAAGCAGGUCAUAGUGAUCCGGUGGUUCUGAAUGGAAGGGCCAUCGCUCAACGGAUAAAAGGUACUCCGGGGAUAACAGGCUGAUACCGCCCAAGAGUUCAUAUCGACGGCGGUGUUUGGCACCUCGAUGUCGGCUCAUCACAUCCUGGGGCUGAAGUAGGUCCCAAGGGUAUGGCUGUUCGCCAUUUAAAGUGGUACGCGAGCUGGGUUUAGAACGUCGUGAGACAGUUCGGUCCCUAUCUGCCGUGGGCGCUGGAGAACUGAGGGGGGCUGCUCCUAGUACGAGAGGACCGGAGUGGACGCAUCACUGGUGUUCGGGUUGUCAUGCCAAUGGCACUGCCCGGUAGCUAAAUGCGGAAGAGAUAAGUGCUGAAAGCAUCUAAGCACGAAACUUGCCCCGA
RNAcentral lists this ribosomal RNA (1601 nucleotides) under Salmonella enterica. RNAcentral describes it as "partial 23S ribosomal RNA". It matches the Rfam family "Bacterial large subunit ribosomal RNA", at positions 1217 to 2802 of the family's 2925-position model. Lineage: Bacteria; Pseudomonadati; Pseudomonadota; Gammaproteobacteria; Enterobacterales; Enterobacteriaceae. The record is from RNAcentral.